Gadus morhua (Atlantic cod) is the source of this 4117-nucleotide long non-coding RNA. RefSeq lists it as uncharacterized. The record is from RefSeq and is a predicted model, not a curated record. The transcript is spliced from 2 exons. NCBI's taxonomy places the organism in Eukaryota, Metazoa, Chordata, Actinopteri, Gadiformes, Gadidae.
CUCACCCAGGCAACCUUCGCCAUGCAAGCUUCAGCCCAGAGUUUUACACUAACUUUUUUAUGUUUCUACACUUUUAUACUUUGCUGCUAAGUUAUAGUGGAAAGGGUGAGUAGUUGGUUUAAAACAUCACUAUCCUAUACUGCCCGACACAUUUCACUCUCACUGAUUCACUGAUGCAUACAAUAUAGCUUCUCAAUGUAGCAUUGUAGUAUAUUCAGCUAUAUUUAUAUGUGGCAUAAGAUAAAAGGAUGCAGACAGAUUUGGAUGAGGUGGUGCUGUAGUUAACACCUACACCACCUUCACUGUUACUUUUAGCAUGCCUACUGCCCUGCAUAUCAGAAAUACUCAUGUUUACAAGCCCACUCAGAGAAAGAAGCCGUGGGUCCAUAGUCUGUCAUCGCCACAGGGAGUUAUGAAUGAAGGAGAACAGAGUGAGGCGAACCAGACAGUACUGAGGUGGACUGAGGGGUGGUGGGGUGUAGGUGAAGAAGUAAAAAAAAAUAUGAGCUAUGGAGGCUGGUUGCACAUGUGAAAGUCAUUACUCAGAUUCAGCUCUAAUACAACAUUUCUCCGAGAGGGAGGCCCAUCCCCCUCUUGUCCUUCUCUCUCCUUCUCUCCUCUCAUUGCCAGCUCACCGAGUCUCCUCUUUCACUCAAAGAAGGGGAAGAUGGGAGAAAAUGGAUAACCAAAAAUACAGAGAGAUGUGACCUCCCCUGAAAUAGGACCAAUAGGCAUUUUGAGAGCAAAGUUCCAGUCCCAUGACAAAAUCCCAUUUGUUCAGGGAACAGGCGGGUGUGAGGCCACAGUGACAGACCUAGAUGUUGGUAGAAGACGCAAGUCUCUCCCAUUGCUCCCCUGAACCCUACGACUCUCUCCCCUCUUCCCUCUUUUUCUUUUUUAUGCAAACUUUUUUGUCAGAGGGGCCCACUUCCUGUUGCAGAGGCCGAAAAAAAAAUGACAGAAGGCGAUUGGCGCUUGUGCAGAAACAUCUGGAAUUGCUUUAGCUCGGAGAGAGAGAGGGGUGUCAGGGUAGAGAGGGAGCUGAGCGCGUUCUGAUGGGGUAGAAAUAGAAAGUACAGACAAGACACAGAGGAAGAGGAGGGAGCGGAGGCUUGUAGAGAGAAAGAGAGACAGCGAGAGAGAGGGAGAGAGAGUGAGAGAGAAAGACAGAGGGAAAGACAGAGACAGAGGGAGGUGAGCAUGAGAAGAACAACAGAGCUCAGGCUGACCGACCUGGACAGCAGGGAUGGGGAGUUUAGAAAGUUUGCAAGGGGGUAGCUGGGGGGGAGGGGAGAUUCUGCAUAGUACUCCAGCGUCAAUUCCCCAAGAGUCCCAUCAACCCAUAUAUGGCCACCUCAUUUCCAGCCUACCUCACUCUCUCUCUCCCUCUCUUUUCACUCGCCCCUAUUUCCUUACGCCUACCCCGAGUGAGAGGACAGACAGAUCCCCAGCAGCUGAAAGUGCAAAUGUGCCACGUCAAGACUGGAUACCGAGCCUGGACCGAGCGGCCUUCUGGACAACACCCCCCCGCCCCUCCCAAGCAGUGGAAGACGUUUCCAGAGGUGGCACGCCGGAACGUCAUACAUCACAGCUGUUACGUCUUCAAGACUAAAGAGAUGAUAUCCUUUCUUCCUUCAGACUAAUGGAUCCUAUAGCAUGCCUGAUAUAUAUAGCAUGCCUGAUCACACACACACACACACACACACACACACACACACACACACACACACACACACACACACACACACACACACACACACAUACACACACAAACACACACACACACACGCACACACACACACACACACAUAGAGAGCGCAGGGGACGGUAGUUGAUUGAGCGUAUAUAAGUUUUGUGUGAUGUCUGCUUUUCCUCAGGCAGGACGGUGGCCCCUUGUUUGGGGUAGGGAACAGGAAUGCCAGUCUGCUCAGUGUUGGAGCAGAGAUUAAAACUCUGACCGGAUAACUACCACGGUGUGCUGUAUAUUGAUGGACUUUAGGGUGCAAGGCCUUCUGGAAAGGUUAAGCAACUCCUCGGGAUUUCCAAAUUAAUGACUAGAGAGGAGGAGGGGGAUGUGGGGGGGAUAGGAAAGCAGGGCCAACAGGAGGGAGGUUAGACAGCAGAGUUGAUGGAGGUGAGACGGGAGAGGGGAUGGGAUGGGGGUGCGGGGAGGAGGGGGUGGUGUAGUGGCGGGAGGGGGGGUUUGAGGUGGAGGUGUAGUAGUAAGUGUGUGGGGGGGGGGGGGGGAUUGCUGGGGGUCUGGUUGGUGGAUGGGUGGUUGGCGGAGGACUGUGCGGGUGGGGGCUGUAGAGUAGAAACAGCCAUGUGGGAUUUCUCUGGGCAGAUCUUGGAAGCUGGUGUUUGGACAAAGCCUCAGAUUUUCCAGCCAGGAAUGUGAACAGUCCCAGGGAGACUGCCAACCGCAAAGAGAGAGAGGCAGAGAGAGAGACGCAGAGAGAGAUGCAGAGAGAGAAAAAGAAAGUGAUACAGAGGCAGAGAGACGAGAAAGAGGUGACGGGGGAGAGUUUUAGAGAAUAGUAUAAAUAAUAUGUGGUCACAAAUAAAUCACGAAAGUGUGUGUGUGUGUGUGUGUGGGGGAGGGGGGAUUCUUUGAGAACACACAUUUGAAAAUGCAUGCAUCUAAUCUGAUCUCAUAUAAUAACAUGAAUAACUAAGAGAAGGAUCCCAGUCAUCCUGCCCUACGCCCAAGGUCCAUUGCUCGGAGGUCAGUAGGGAUUUGCUUGCGUUGAGUUUGUGCAUCGUUUGUUCAGCAGAUGCGCCGAGUCAAUGGCGUAACUGUGUUUGUUGAUGGCCAGAUACUUGUGUAGCGCAAUGGGGAUGACAGUAAGCGGAGGCAGACACAAACUGAGUGUGUGUGUGUGUGUGUGUGUGUGUGUGUGUGUGUGUGUGUGUGUGUGUGUGUACAAUAUGCAUGCCUGGAGCUGUGUCUAGGAAUACUGCGUGCUCUGAUGCAGUGUUUAUCUGAGAUUGAACGCCUGUCCCAGGAAGUGUAUAUUUUCCCUCACUAUUUGCAUGGCAGUUUGUUUACAUCAGACACUGUUCAUAUUAUAUACUGUAUAUAUAAGUUUGCUCACUGUGUGUGUGUGUGUGUGUGUGUGUGUGUGUGUGUGUGUGUGUGUGUGUGUGUGUGUGUGUGUGUGUGUGUGUGUGUGUGUGUGUGUGAGGGUGUGUGUGUGUAUCUGAAUGUCUCUGUGUGUUAAUUUGGCUUGGGGCAGCUCCAGCUGUGACAGACUGAACCGCUCCAAAUGCCUUUACUCCCAGAGGAGGAAGGCAAGAGGGGUAACAGAGAGGGGUGGGGGGUGUCAAGAGGAAUUAAUGGGGUGGACUGGAGGGGCUCAGUAUAAGGUGCUGUGAGUGCAGGAGCCUGGAGAAUUUUUGUGGGAUGGAUAAAGUACGCAAGCAAGUAAGCAAAGAUGGAGAUGGUGCAAAGAUGAAGACACUCAGAUGGAGUGUCAGGACGACCGGACAGACUGAUCGGUUAACGUGGGGUAAAGGGGCAAAGGGCACCAUUUGUAUUGCUCAGUGUGUGGCCUUUGGGGAUAUUGCUGCUAAAUGUUCCAAUUUUCCCUGAUCUGUAUUUCCGCUAACAGUAAGACUAAUGUCAAUCUGCUUGAUUUUUCAAUGUAUGUAUGUGCGACUUCAAUGCAGUGUGUGUGUGUGUGUGAAUAUAGUUCACGCACGCACAAAGUCAGAUCUUUGGCAGCUUCGUUCAGCGACACUCAGCGAUGCUUUUGAAGACUAUCAGUGUUGUGGUGUGUCUGCCUGUCUACACUUGCUGUGCAGACAUUCUGCUCCUGUACAGCAGGCACAGACAGGCAGACAGAUGGCAGCCCCGCAGGCAGACGGGUCUUUCAACCAAUCAUGGCAAGGCUCUCACCUACAGUGUUUAUAGAAGUCUUCCGUCGGUUCACUCCAUUCAUUCAAAGGAGAAGAACACACCCCAACACUUGGCCAUCCGUCUAAUGUCUUAACAUUUGAAUACUGCCCUAUGAGAUGUUGGUAUUAAUAAAGCUUUUAUUUACUUGUGCUCUUUAUAUUGAUGCAUUGAUUCUUUUAUUUUGUCAAGUCAAGCCAUUAAAAAUGUUCUUCGACAUUU